This 773-nucleotide long non-coding RNA is filed under the name Lonchura striata (white-rumped munia). RNAcentral describes it as "domestica (Bengalese finch) lncRNA (ENSLSDG00000003177.1)". The record is from RNAcentral. Lineage: Eukaryota; Metazoa; Chordata; Aves; Passeriformes; Estrildidae.
GUGAGCUGGUCCAACUAUUUUGGGAUGGGAGUGAACACCGAGGGGCUGAUCAUCAUCGGAGGCCUCAUCGAGUCCUUCGAGAUCCCCUUUAAGGGCGCUCUCCAGCAGCUGACCUUCGUGAUGGGAGACCCAGGAGCUGCUGCUGAGCAGUGCCACAGCUACAACUCAACCUGCCCAGGCUCCUCCAGCCUCCACAGGGCCCCGUGGGAGCUCCCAACAGCCUGGCCAGAGGUGCCAAAGGAAACCAAUGAAAUCCAGGAUUCAUCUACUCAGGAUUCCAGACUCACCAGUUCAGAUUCGGCCCCGGGGUCACCUUGGCCAUGGGAGGAUGCCCAGGGGACCCUCAGCCUCCAGCCUGAUGGGAGUGCCCUGGCUUCCCUCUCUGCUCAUGAGUUGCCAUCAGCUGAGGAGGAGGAGGAGGAGGAGGGCAGCCUUUCCAUUGAGGAUGAAGGUUUUGAGCUGCUGAACUCCACCUACAAUAAAAUCACCGGUCCCGGCAGGCCAGCGCUCAGGAGAAGCUCAGCCUCCAUCAAACCCCCCCGAGCAGCCAGGAAGGAGCGUGGCUCUGAUCCCCGUGAGGAGAACGUCACCACGGAGAAGCUGUCGGGGGACGCUGGCGCGCGGUGGCGGCUCCCACCUGGCAAACCUCACCUGGACCCCGUCCCCAAGGUGUCCCCACCUGCUCAUCGGGGGGCUGCUCCCAAAGGAAACGUCCCCAAAGGUCCCCUGAGGGCAGGGGUAGCGCUGGGUGUCCCGCAGCCUCCUCUUGGAGC